GUCCAGACUCCUACGGGAGGCAGCAGUGGGGAAUAUUGCACAAUGGGGGAAACCCUGAUGCAGCAACGCCGCGUGAGUGAAGAAGUCAUUCGUGAUGUAAAGCUCUAUCAGCAGGGAAGAAAAUGACGGUACCUGAGUAAGAAGCCCCGGCUAACUACGUGCCAGCAGCCGCGGUAAUACGUAGGGGGCAAGCGUUAUCCGGAUUUACUGGGUGUAAAGGGAGCGUAGACGGCAUGGCAAGUCAGAUGUGAAAGCCCGGGGCUCAACCCCGGGACUGCAUUUGAAACUGUCAGGCUGGAGUGCAGGAGAGGUAAGUGGAAUUCCUAGUGUAGCGGUGAAAUGCGUAGAUAUUAGGAGGAACACCAGUGGCGAAGGCGGCCUGCUGGACGGUGUACUGACGCUGAGGCUCGAAAGCGUGGGGAGCAAACAGGAUUAGAUACCCUAGUAUAC
Molecule: ribosomal RNA, 450 nt
Filed under: uncultured bacterium
Lineage: Bacteria
Description: bacterial SSU rRNA
Rfam family: Bacterial small subunit ribosomal RNA
Source: RNAcentral